AACGAACGCUGGCGGCAGGCCUAACACAUGCAAGUCGAGCGCGCCUUUCGGGGUGAGCGGCGGACGGGUUAGUAACGCGUGGGAAUAUACCCUUUGGUACGGAAUAGCCUCUGGAAACGGAGAGUAAUACCGUAUGAGCCCUUCGGGGGAAAGAUUUAUCGCCAAAGGAUUAGCCCGCGUUAGAUUAGGUAGUUGGUGGGGUAAUGGCCUACCAAGCCUACGAUCUAUAGCUGGUUUUAGAGGAUGAUCAGCAACACUGGGACUGAGACACGGCCCAGACUCCUACGGGAGGCAGCAGUGGGGAAUCUUGGACAAUGGGGGGCAACCCUGAUCCAGCCAUGCCGCGUGAGUGAUGAAGGCCUUAGGGUCGUAAAGCUCUUUCGCCUGUGAAGAUAAUGACGGUAGCAGGUAAAGAAACCCCGGCUAACUCCGUGCCAGCAGCCGCGGUAAU
RNAcentral lists this ribosomal RNA (451 nucleotides) under uncultured bacterium. Its description in RNAcentral is "bacterial SSU rRNA". It matches the Rfam family "Bacterial small subunit ribosomal RNA", at positions 29 to 524 of the family's 1533-position model. The record is from RNAcentral.